Molecule: non-coding RNA, 91 nt
Filed under: Plasmodium falciparum 3D7
Lineage: Eukaryota; Apicomplexa; Aconoidasida; Haemosporida; Plasmodiidae
Source: RNAcentral
CAAUCUUAGAAGGAUCUAUAGUUUUAGAAUGUGAUUCUUCGCUCACGCUACCUUGGUUUACUUCUUGGAUGCUACCAACAUUACUUUCAUG